RNAcentral lists this small nucleolar RNA (106 nucleotides) under Olea europaea subsp. europaea. Its description in RNAcentral is "Small nucleolar RNA snoR97". It matches the Rfam family "Small nucleolar RNA snoR97". Lineage: Eukaryota; Viridiplantae; Streptophyta; Magnoliopsida; Lamiales; Oleaceae. The record is from Rfam by way of RNAcentral.
AAUACGAACUGGGAAAAGGGUCUGAAUAAAGAGAUUUGUGUGUUGCCAUAAGCCUCAUCUCUUGAAAUUGCUAAUGAGAAUGAAGUUAAACAACGACACUAAAUGU